Molecule: long non-coding RNA, 5112 nt
Organism: Mus musculus (house mouse)
Lineage: Eukaryota; Metazoa; Chordata; Mammalia; Rodentia; Muridae
Product: predicted gene, 39303
Exons: 3
Source: RefSeq, a predicted model, not a curated record
CAUCUGCAAGAGAGAGUGGGAUGAUGGCAUGAGUGACGAAGUCCUGGUGACUGCCUUGCUUUUAGUUGUCCCUGCCUCCAUCCUUCUGGCAUCUCUAGAUUCUUCUGAAAUGCCUCAUAACAACUUUGAAGUGCUAUGUCAGCCUAUGUCUCUCUAGUAAAGGAGAGCUAAGGGACCCCUGUGUUGCAGGGACACAACCAGGGUCCUCAGGAGCUCAGUGUCUAGUAAGUAGGUAAAGAAAACAUGUUCCCAGGAGAAGGCCUGGGCACCCAGAGACAUCCUGUCCCCAUAUGAACUAAGACAGCUAUUAAGUGCCCAGUGGACCCAGGCCUAGAUCCAUUACACCACAUGGAGGGUGUGAAAUGAGACACUGGCUUUGUGGGCUUCCAAGAAUACUGCCUCACGCCUUUUUGAGACAGGGUGUCGAGUAGCCCAGGCUAACCUGUAACUAUGCGACUGAAGAUGACCUUGAACUCUGGCCUUAAAAGGCCAAUUGCUGGGAUCACACAAGCCUGUGUGUUUGGUUUCUGUGGUGCUGGGAUAAAGCUCAGGACUUUGUGCGUGUCAGGUGGGUAUCCGCCAACUGAGCUACAGCUACAGCCCCAGAACACCCGUCUUCCUACAACAGGAAUGCAGCAGUCAGUAAGCUCACUGGACCUGCAUGACUGCUCUCACAUGGCUCACCACGUAAGUAGCAAAACAAAAUGCUAAUAAAAAUGUGGCCGAAGAUGUUUCCAAGCACUCUGAGGAGACAAAUUAGGGUGAAAGAAAGAAAGAAAGGAAGAAAUAAACAAGCAAGCAAGCAAGCAAGCUUACAGAGAUGGCUCAGCGGUUAAGAGCACUGACUGUUCUCCCAGAGGUCCUGAGGUCAAUUCCCAGCAACCACAUGGUGGUUUACAACCGUCUGUAAUAAGAUCUGAUGCCCUCUUCUGAUGUGUCUGAAGACAGCUAUAGUGUACUCAUAUAAAUAAAAUAAAUCUUUAAAAAAUAUAUAAUUUAAAAAUUUGAAGUUCACAGAAAGGCUGGACCUAGAAAUUUGGGACUAGCCUAAGCCGCAUAACAAGAUUCCAUCUCAAAAACAAAAUAAAAAAAAAAUGACCCAGGUACAUGCUUAGAACUCUAACACCUGAAAUUAGGACAAUUCUGAAUUCCAGGAUCCUGAUGUAUUUAAAAAAAAAAAAAAAAAAAAAAAAAAAAAAAGAUGGCAGAGCAUUUACCUGGCAAGCACAAAGCCCUGGCGUCUAUCACAUCAAUAAACAAACAAAACACAACAACAAAACAAAAAUGAAAAUAAAAUAAAUAACCCCAACAACUCUGAGAUGUCACUGCUCAGUGUCUACAAAUGUCCCCAAAUUAACAGUAGCAUGAAGCAAGUGAGAAGUGAGGAGAGAGAUGUGGAGGAAUGAAGCUCAGCAAACAUCUCUAGAGAGAUGUGACCAAGGGAACACAGCACCACCCGACACAGCAAUUCCACGCCCACGUGUGUCUCCACAAAGCAUGGCAGAUAGGGCUUCAAACAAAUACAAGUAUGCAAACUCUCAGGUACAGGGGCUGUUAUAAGCAGUCCUGUCAGUCAGGAGGCUGAGGUCAAGAAGCUGAUGGUGUCCUAGCUAACCUGGACAACACAGCAAGAGCUCAAAGAAAGAACAGAACAUGUUGGUGCUGGGGCUUAGUUGGCAGAAUGCAGUAAGCCAUAGACUCCAUUCCCAGAACAGCAAAAAUGACAUAAAACAGCAGGAGUGGUACACAGAUGUAAAAAACAAACAAAAAAAAAACAAAAACAAAAACAAACCUUUGGGAAGAGGAGGCAGGAAGAUCAUAGUUAGAAGGAAAUAUACCUAUCUAUCUACCUACCUACCUACAUAGACAGAGAGAGAAAGAGAAAGAGAGACAGAGGACUGUUUAUUCUCAAUAGUCAAAACUAGACUCAACUCAAAUUCCAUCAACAGAUAAACAAAAUCAAAUAAUGGUAUUAUUUAAGCACAGAGAGAAACAAAGUCAAGACUUGCUACAACCUGGAACACUACCAGAAAUACUGUGUCAAAAGAAGGGAACAGCCACAAAGGUUGUGCAGUAAGUACUGUGUUCAAUCAAACAGCAGGAAGGGUAUAUCCAAAGUGGCUGGGAUAGACUUUCAGUUAGUUGCCAGGGCUCCAAGAAGGCAGUAGGGGAGCAAGAACUACCUGGUAUGGGUGUGGGGUUUCCUGUGGGGCGAUGACAGGGUUUUGGAGAUAGCUAAAGGUCACAGUUACAUAACACCAAAUAUGCUCAAUGCUCCUGAUUUGUACUUUAAAAUGGCUCGUGUUAGUUUAAGGAGCUGUCACUUCAGUAAAGAAAAUUGAGCCCUAUCUGACAGUACAGUGCAUGGGGACCUGCAGUACUCACAGGGGACAUGGCUACCCAGUUCUGUCUAGCUCAUUGAAGAGCCAGGCUCUGGGAGUAGAUGUCACCUCCUAGGAGCAAGGUAUGCCUGAGGGUCUGUUGGUUGUCCACUGGCCCAGACACAGGGGCCCAGACUUAGUGCCUGGGACUAUGUCCCUUCUAGAGUAGAAGGUAAAGGUGAUCUUUGGGCUAGGUCUGGAUGAUAAGACCCUGGGAUGCCCAGUUGCCCUAUGUGCUCCUCUUGCAGCCUGGCUCCAAGCAGGCAACUAUAGCACUAGCACCGGUGGUGGAUGGCAACAGAGGCAGGGCUGGGGCACUGAUGAAGGAGUCUGCAUUUUCUGAGCAUCACAGCUGGUCCCUCAGGCCUUUCCUCUUGAACACAGGAAGCACCAGGAACCUUUGUAACAUACUCAUGCAAAUGAACAAACCACCUACACCACAGGCCCCUGCUUUUCAAAUCCUGCUUUAGGAGGCCUUGGAGUAAAAACUUGAAGUAUUUGGCUGGCACAUGCAAAGUCCUGGGUUCCAUCCCCAGAACUAAAAAAAAUAAAAUCAAAGCAAACAACAAAAUGUUCCUUUCGAAGAGCCCCAGCUUUGUGCAGCAUCCCUGCUCACUGCGGCACACCCAAUCCUCUAGAUCCAAAGGAAGGCUUGGACUGGCCUUUGCACAUCCUAGCCUUCCCAUCUCCCAACUCCCUUCUAGAGAUGGGUCCAGGGCAAUCCUGUGGCUAGAUAGAGAAGACAUCCCAUACCAUAAGGAUAGAACUGCAGAGCAAGGGUCCUCUAAGGAGCACCUGAAGCCUACAUGAGGAAGUAGCAUUAAAGUGUCCCUAUAACCACAGGCCUGCUACAGAUGAAGAAAAUGCCCAUAGAUCCUUCAAGCAGGUAAAUGUUCCCUGCAAUGUCAAUGCAGCCACUGGUGAGGGAGCUACAGCAGAAGCUUGCAGCCCCAGGUUUCAGAAAAGCUCCAGGGUAUGAUCUGCCACAAACCAACCCAGCCUUCUUUUCCAUGGUUGCCUCAGGUUAUGAAAUGUGGAACAGAAAAGAGAUACAGGAUGGGAUAAUCCAAGAAAGGACUCAGGUGAUGACUCACUCCCUAAACCCACCAUUUGGGAAGCUAAGACAGGACGGCUGAGGCUAGAGGGAGGCCACUGUUGCCUGUAGUGACAGUGGAACACAGCAGUGCAGCCAACACAGGCGCCUUGCUUGAGGAACUCUGGAACUGUCUGCCUUGGCCAGUCACUGAUGUGGAACAAGGAUGGGACCUCAGGGGAGCCCUGCUCCAAGCCACAAGUGGCUGGGAACAGAAGCCAGAACCUCCAACAUGCCAGACAGGCACCUGACCCCAAAGCUCCAGCCACAGGCUGGGACUCACAAACUUAAGUGGGAUCUGAGCUUUACCUCAGAUGUCUUCAGAUCCCCAAGAUGUCCAGAGCAGUGAUUUAUGCUAGUGGAAAGCAGGAGCUAGGAACAGCAGCUCACUCUCAGGUACAUGUCCGCCUUGGGGUAAUGAAUGAAAUACAGACUAUAGCAAUAUGGCUGCACCUCUACAGACAGCACCAUCACCCUGCCCUCUAGAAGCCCAUGCAUGUUCACUGGGACUCCAUGGUAGGCUCUGGGGCUGCUAACCUCUCUUGCCUUUCAAAGUUUCAGUCCUUUCCUGAUCUAUGAGCCAUAACUCAUUUAUGAAUUCUUCUCAAAGUCUGCUGGAGGGUCUGCCCAGGAGCUCACAGAAGUAGGAAGGCCAGCUACAGGGAUUUGGAUGUGACAGAGCUAGACUCUCAAGCCAAAUUCUUAAAUGCAUUCCUGUCUCCACACCAGCCCUGAGAGCUGCAGCUGUCAUCCAUCUCUACAGGUGGAGGGCAAAUGAAGUUCACAGGAUCGUCUGAGAUCACAGCCACUGACUUCUGACCUCAUACCCCAGCUGUAUAGCACUUGCCUACACCUGUAUGUACAAGGCUUUGAGCACCACCCCCAGGCACUGCAAUGAACACAAACAAAACCUUGAGGGGCUCUUCGCAGCCAGGUAAGGUGGUCCUGAGCUGACUGUCUGAAGUUCCUCCCAACCCCAACUCUCCAGCCAGCUGGGCAUGUCCUUCCACUCACCCCAUUUCCUAAGAGUCUCGUUCCCCAGGUUUCCAGCAGACCCCAAGUAUAUCCUGGUCAGGAACUGUAGCUGCCAGAGGGUCUCCUGAACCACCCCCAUCUGCUAACCCAAGCCGAUCCCUGGUCAAGUCGUAUUCUGGUGAAAACACCCUCACUGGUCCCAUCUAGGCACCGAUGUGGAAACCCAAGGCUCAGUGCUUACCAUUCACAAUCUCACCAGGUUCUGAGACCAUGAGUGUGGCUGAGGCACAGAAGCAAGAGAAGUAUAUUAUCCCUAGCUACCUCUAUGACAUACUCAACAAGCUCAAAUACAUCUAUGCAGAGGAAUGUGUGACUGUGUGAGUUGUAUAUGUAGAGGCUAUAAAGAGUCCCACAUGGCAGCUCAAGGAAAAUUCCGUAAACAUACAAGUCAGGUCAGAGCAAACUGUCCAAAGACAGAAAAACCAAAUUACACCGUCCACAUCCAAAUCACAGAUGAGGGCAGCAGUUCUCAACCUGUGGGUCAUGAUCCCUUUGGGGUUACAUAUCAUACAUUUAUGUUAUGAUUCUGAACAGUAGCAAAAUUUUGUACCAAGGGGGCUGGAGAGAUGCUCAGUGGUUAAGAGCACUGACUGCUCUUCCAGA